UGGGGAAUAUUGCACAAUGGGCGCAAGCCUGAUGCAGCGACGCCGCGUGGGGGAUGACGGCCUUCGGGUUGUAAACUCCUUUCGCUCGGGACGAAGCUUUUUGUGACGGUACCUAGAUAAGAAGCACCGGCUAACUACGUGCCAGCAGCCGCGGUAAUACGUAGGGUGCGAGCGUUGUCCGGAAUUACUGGGCGUAAAGGGCUCGUAGGUGGUUUGUCGCGUCGUCUGUGAAAUUCCGGGGCUUAACUCCGGGCGUGCAGGCGAUACGGGCAUAACUUGAGUACUGUAGGGGUAACUGGAAUUCCUGGUGUAGCGGUGAAAUGCGCAGAUAUCAGGAGGAACACCGAUGGCGAAGGCAGGUUACUGGGCAGUUACUGACGCUGAGGAGCGAAAGCAUGGGUAGCGAACAGG
This 411-nucleotide ribosomal RNA is filed under the name Actinomycetes bacterium. Its description in RNAcentral is "Actinobacteria bacterium partial 16S ribosomal RNA". It matches the Rfam family "Bacterial small subunit ribosomal RNA", at positions 355 to 776 of the family's 1533-position model. The record is from RNAcentral. Lineage: Bacteria; Bacillati; Actinomycetota; Actinomycetes.